Molecule: long non-coding RNA, 566 nt
Organism: Microtus ochrogaster (prairie vole)
Lineage: Eukaryota; Metazoa; Chordata; Mammalia; Rodentia; Cricetidae
Source: RefSeq, a predicted model, not a curated record
UCUAAGAAGUGUUUCCAGCUCUUCAAGACACACAGAAAACCUGAUUGGGAGAACGCAAUGGAACAAAAGGUUGGCUCUCAAACCUCACUUUCUAGUCUGACUUCUACCCGUGUUUUCUCCAGGUUUUGUUCACUGGACCUGUAGAACUAAUUACCACUGCUUCUUCCUGGUGACUCAGGAGAGACAAAUGAAUCCCAGCUGCGAUUCUGAUGGUAGCCACAAUCUCACUCCAAGGGUUAUAAAGCCACAUUGUCCCCCCGGCCUCCACUUCUGAGCUCUCCUCGUUGGACAAAGAGUGGUAUACAUUCCUGUGCCUGGAGAAAUAAUCAAUAACAUUACUAAAGAUGCUGGAACAAAGCCCAGAUUCAAGGUACAGAGAUAUGACAACCUCUGAGGAGACAGAGAAUCUAUCCAAGGUCAUGCCAAUCUCCUGAUGAACAUAUAAAUAUAUGUAUAUAAAUAUUACAUAAUUUAUAUAAGUAUAAACCCCUUUUUUCUAUGAUGUUUGAGGUCAUAGGUGAGCUGCCCAUCUUUCCAAUCUCAUUAUAGAACACUUUCUUCUACAA